Peromyscus eremicus (cactus mouse) is the source of this 2455-nucleotide RNA transcript. It is a transcript of the gene named disks large homolog 5-like, with no coding region annotated. NCBI's taxonomy places the organism in Eukaryota, Metazoa, Chordata, Mammalia, Rodentia, Cricetidae. The transcript is spliced from 6 exons. The record is from RefSeq and is a predicted model, not a curated record.
UUUGUUUUUGUGUCUGAGGGCUCCCCUGGGGAACUCUGGUUCUUAUAUCUCCAGCCAGACAUGUCACUAGUUAAUCACACUUUUGGUAUCUACAAUGGCUGGAAUGAAUUCUCCUGAAGUUAGAAAUAAUUUUCGUCAACUAUGGGACUUAUCUUUGUUCUGAUAAGACAAGACACCUCCAAUCUCCCACCACACUAACAGCCUUGUGCAUCCUCCACAAGGUGCUUGUUGCCUGCAGGGGACUGAACUUUCCUCUCCCCACCAUCCUUACUUAAUUACCUAGAAACCUUUUUUUCUUGUUUAUUGACUAGAGGUUUCACGAGUUGGAUGAUCCAUUUCCUGGGAUGUGUUUGAAAGGACUACUGGGAAGACACCAACUCAAACCUCCACCUCCACUGAGCAGGAGCAGCAGAUGACAAAGUUGGAGAAACUCACCCUUCAGCUACAGAGUAUAACAUAUGAGCGAAUUGAACUGCAUGGAAUCCUGACCAGUUAUACAGAUAUGGAUUUGCAGAACAGGCUGAAUUCUUUUGGGAUGCAAAAAAAUGAGCAUAAGCAGGUGAUGUCGGCCUUGCAGAAAUUGCCCAUGUAAAUCAGUGAUGACGUGAACACGGUCAAACAGCUGAUUGAGGAGAAUGUAUCCUACAGUUACCUCCACAGCCAGGUCCUCCGAGAUUGGACUCAGCGGAAGGAGAGUGUACAUGUGCUGAGACUGAAGAACAGACAGCUGUGGAAGGAGCAGAUUGAACUGCAGGAGUCCUGUGAGGAGCUGAAGAGGCUCUUGAAGGAGGCCCAUGAGAUGAUCUGUGACCCUUCUGCUGAGCAGCAUCAGGAGCAAGAGAGCCUGGAUGAAAGACUGAAGGACCUGCUGAAGCAGAAGGAGCUGGUCACCCAGCAAGGGGACUUGGCAGAAUAGCUGCAACAUCACUUCAGUGUCUCUGAGAUGAGGUCAGAAAAUCUCCAGUCUGAGUUUGAACAGGCCACAGCCCAGGAUGAGAGCCUCCUGCAGACAGAGCUGCUGCAGCAGGAACACUAAGUCUCACAGGCAAGUGAGCCACCAUUGCAUCCCAUCCCCAGCAAACAUGGUGUUGGUGGGAGACUGGGGGCUCUUGACCUUGGCUUCCAGUGUGAAUAGGCCUUGAUUUUUUCUGGCCUGUGGCCCAGCCAGGCUGCUUCUGGUUCUGAUUGCCUUUCCUUUUCAUGUAGCAGAUCUUGGGAGAACUGAGGAGGCCAAAGAAACCACAGAUGCCUUGAACCUAUGACAUUCUAUACUCUGAGAUGAAGGCCUCCUCCUCAGAAGACACUCCUUUAGAGUUGUGAACUCACCAGUGAGGAGCAUACCAGCUGUCUUCCAGGUGAUCCAGCCCCAACAGAUCUAUUGGUCUGCUGACUUAGUCUUCUCAAAGAAAAGAAAGAAACCAAAAAUGAGCUUGAGACACUGAAAAUCUGAGCCAAGAUUUACUGAGAACCCUGACAUUCAAUAGCAAGUGGCCACUGUGAGGGGUACUACAACAUGAAGGGUAGAGAUGUUGGUGAGCAAGACUGUUUCUGUCGGUUUAAUGUUGAUGGCUUUGGCAAGCUGACUGAGUUCUCAGGCCUCCCUAUGUGGUGAAAUGUGUCAUGGAUGAUUGUGUUGAUGUCAAGCUGUUCCUGACAGACCACACCCAAAGGCAUCAUAUUUCAUUCUCCAGUUGAGUGUUGAAGUUGACACAAUGUCAUGCACCAGUGUUGCUGAAGAAAAUGCACCAAAGAGAUCUCCAGAGUCCAUCAUUCCUCGUAUUAGUCAUUUUCCCCUCCAUAUGUAAAAUGAGUGGGUAUUCUUCAGUUUCACAGCCUGGCCUGAAGUGACUGGUCCUGAGAAAGGAUUUACAGAAGACACCUGAGUCAUCUUUGAUGUUCAUGGGCACUCAGAGGCUGCCCAUGGAUUUGUUGGGUCUCCAGUAAGCAUAGAAUUGUCUGAAAGAAUCAAAUGAUGACCAAGACAUUACAGGAUCAGUAGUGGGUGAUAAUUUAUCAAAAGCUUCCCAAGGGGCACAAUGUUUGCUCUAGGAAAUGUCUCAUUGUUAGUCUCUGUGAGGACUUGGCCUACAAAGCCUGAAGGAGGCAUGGCUAUACUAGCUUUGAAAAGGCUUUUCACAAUCGUUGACUGCCUUCCUACCAUGUUUCCAAGGCCAGCCAGAGGCUGCAGGUCUGUGCUUUAAAUGUGUAGCAAGAGAAUGCUGCUGACCUUAAUUGUUUUUGUUUGGUUUUUGGUUGGGUUUUGUUUGCUUAGGUUUUUUGGGUUUUCUUUGUUAUAGAUUGAGCUUUUGCUAUUUAUUUGUUCUUUCAUUUGUUCUUGUUGUUUUUUGGGUAUUUUGAUAAGGAUAUUCACUGUUUAUGUUGACUGAUCUAUUUAAGCCCCUAUUUAGUAAAAUAACUGUAUUUUUAUUAAUAAUAAAGUGAUUUUGAACUCUUC